AUUGAACGCUGGCGGCAUGCCUUACACAUGCAAGUCGAACGCGAAAGCGGGGCAACCCGCAAGUAGAGUGGCGAACGGGUGAGUAAUACAUCGGAACGUACCCAGUAGCGGGGGAUAACCUCUCGAAAGAGAAGCUAAUACCGCAUACGACCUAUGGGUGAAAGCGGGGGAUCGCAAGACCUCGCACUAUUGGAGCGGCCGAUGUCGGAUUAGCUAGUUGGCGGGGUAACGCCCACCAAGGCGACGAUCCGUAGCUGGUCUGAGAGGACGACCAGCCACACUGGAACUGAGACACGGUCCAGACUCCUACGGGAGCAGCAGUGGGGAAUUUGGACAAUGGGCGCAAGCCUGAUCCAGCCAUG
RNAcentral lists this ribosomal RNA (362 nucleotides) under uncultured bacterium. Its description in RNAcentral is "bacterial SSU rRNA". It matches the Rfam family "Bacterial small subunit ribosomal RNA", at positions 29 to 396 of the family's 1533-position model. The record is from RNAcentral.